UGUGCUAUAGUAUAGUGGUCAUCACUCGGGAUUUUGAUGACUCUUCCCGAAACCCAGGUUCGAACGCUGGUAGCACCU
Non-coding RNA from Paramarasmius palmivorus, 78 nucleotides. NCBI's taxonomy places the organism in Eukaryota, Fungi, Basidiomycota, Agaricomycetes, Agaricales, Marasmiaceae. The record is from the annotation of a GenBank genome assembly.